This 468-nucleotide ribosomal RNA is filed under the name uncultured bacterium. RNAcentral describes it as "partial 16S ribosomal RNA". It matches the Rfam family "Bacterial small subunit ribosomal RNA", at positions 28 to 507 of the family's 1533-position model. The record is from RNAcentral.
GACGAACGCUGGCGGCGUGCUUAACACAUGCAAGUCGAACGGAAAGGCCCUGCUUUUGUGGGGUGCUCGAGUGGCGAACGUGUGAGUAACACGUGAGUAACCUGCCCUUGACUUUGGGAUAACUUCAGGAAACUGGGGCUAAUACCGGAUAGGAGCUCCUGCUGCAUGGUGGGGUGUGGAAAGUUUCGGCGGUGGGGUAUGGACUCGCGGCUUAUCAGCUUGUUGGUGGGGUAGUGGCUUACCAAGGCUUUCACGGGUAGCCGGCCUGAGAGGGUGACCGGCAAAAUUGGGACUGGGAUACGGCCCAGCUUCCUACGGGAGGAAGAAGUGGGGAAUAUUGCACAAUGGGCGGAAGCCUGAUGCAGCAACGCCGCGUGCGGGAUGACGGCCUUCGGGUUGUAAACCGCUUUCGCCUGUAACGAAGCGUGAGUGACGGUAAUGGGUAAAGAAGCACCGGCUAACUACGUG